Molecule: ribosomal RNA, 508 nt
Filed under: uncultured bacterium
Lineage: Bacteria
Description: partial 16S ribosomal RNA
Rfam family: Bacterial small subunit ribosomal RNA
Source: RNAcentral
GACGAACGCUGGCGGCGUGCCUAAUACAUGCAAGUCGAACGCUUCUUUCCUCCCGAGUGCUUGCACUCAAUUGGAAAGAGGAGUGGCGGACGGGUGAGUAACACGUGGGUAACCUACCCAUCAGAGGGGGAUAACACUUGGAAACAGGUGCUAAUACCGCAUAACAGUUUAUGCCGCAUGGCAUAAGAGUGAAAGGCGCUUUCGGGUGUCGCUGAUGGAUGGACCCGCGAUGCAUUAGCUAGUUGGUGAGGUAACGGCUCACCAAGGCCACGAUGCAUAGCCGACCUGAGAGGGUGAUCGGCCACACUGGGACUGAGACACGGCCCAGACUCCUACGGGAGGCAGCAGUAGGGAAUCUUCGGCAAUGGACGAAAGUCUGACCGAGCAACGCCGCGUGAGUGAAGAAGGUUUUCGGAUCGUAAAACUCUGUUGUUAGAGAAGAACAAGGACGUUAGUAACUGAACGUCCCCUGACGGUAUCUAACCAGAAAGCCACGGCUAACUACGUG